Molecule: small nuclear RNA, 107 nt
Organism: Indicator indicator
Lineage: Eukaryota; Metazoa; Chordata; Aves; Piciformes; Indicatoridae
Source: RefSeq, a predicted model, not a curated record
GUGCUCACUUUAGCAGUACAUACACAGAAACUGAAAUGAUACAGAGAAGCCUAGCAUGACCCCUGCCUAAGGAUGACACACAAAUUCAUGAAGUGUUUCAUAUUUUC